UACAGAGGUGGCAAGCGUUGUUCGGAAUUACUGGGCGUAAAGGGCGCGUAGGCGGCCUUCUAAGUCAGACGUGAAAUCCCCCGGCUUAACCUGGGAACUGCGUCUGAUACUGGAGGGCUUGAGUAUGGGAGAGGGAUGUAGAAUUCCAGGUGUAGCGGUGAAAUGCGUAGAUAUCUGGAGGAACACCGGUGGCGAAGGCGGGUCUCUGGGCCGAUACUGACGCUGAGGAGCGAAAGCGUGGGGAGCGAACAGG
Molecule: ribosomal RNA, 253 nt
Filed under: uncultured bacterium
Lineage: Bacteria
Description: partial 16S ribosomal RNA
Rfam family: Bacterial small subunit ribosomal RNA
Source: RNAcentral